AAAUUGAAGAGUUUGAUCAUGGCUCAGAUUGAACGCUGGCGGCAGGCCUAACACAUGCAAGUCGAACGGUAACAGGAAGAAGCUUGCUUCUUUGCUGACGAGUGGCGGACGGGUGAGUAAUGUCUGGGAAACUGCCUGAUGGAGGGGGAUAACUACUGGAAACGGUAGCUAAUACCGCAUAACGUCGCAAGACCAAAGAGGGGGACCUUCGGGCCUCUUGCCAUCGGAUGUGCCCAGAUGGGAUUAGCUAGUAGGUGGGGUAACGGCUCACCUAGGCGACGAUCCCUAGCUGGUCUGAGAGGAUGACCAGCCACACUGGAACUGAGACACGGUCCAGACUCCUACGGGAGGCAGCAGUGGGGAAUAUUGCACAAUGGGCGCAAGCCUGAUGCAGCCAUGCCGCGUGUAUGAAGAAGGCCUUCGGGUUGUAAAGUACUUUCAGCGGGGAGGAAGGGAGUAAAGUUAAUACCUUUGCUCAUUGACGUUACCCGCAGAAGAAGCACCGGCUAACUCCGUGCCAGCAGCCGCGGUAAUACGGAGGGUGCAAGCGUUAAUCGGAAUUACUGGGCGUAAAGCGCACGCAGGCGGUUUGUUAAGUCAGAUGUGAAAUCCCCGGGCUCAACCCGGGAACUGCAUCUGAUACUGGCAAGCUUGAGUCUCGUAGAGGGGGGUAGAAUUCUAGGUGUAGCGGUGAAAUGCGUAGAGAUCUGGAGGAAUACCGGUGGCGAAGGCGGCCCCCUGGACGAAGACUGACGCUCAGGUGCGAAAGCGUGGGGAGCAAACAGGAUUAGAUACCCCUGGUAGUCCACGCCGUAAACGAUGUCGACUUGGAGGUUGUGCCCUUGAGGCGUGGCUUCCGGAGCUAACGCGUUAAGUCGACCGCCUGGGGAGUACGGCCGCAAGGUUAAAACUCAAAUGAAUUGACGGGGGCCCGCACAAGCGGUGGAGCAUGUGGUUUAAUUCGAUGCAACGCGAAGAACCUUACCUGGUCUUGACAUCCACGGAAGUUUUCAGAGAUGAGAAUGUGCCUUCGGGAACCGUGAGACAGGUGCUGCAUGGCUGUCGUCAGCUCGUGUUGUGAAAUGUUGGGUUAAGUCCCGCAACGAGCGCAACCCUUAUCCUUUGUUGCCAGCGGUCCGGCCGGGAACUCAAAGGAGACUGCCAGUGAUAAACUGGAGGAAGGUGGGGAUGACGUCAAGUCAUCAUGGCCCUUACGACCAGGGCUACACACGUGCUACAAUGGCGCAUACAAAGAGAAGCGACCUCGCGAGAGCAAGCGGACCUCAUAAAGUGCGUCGUAGUCCGGAUUGGAGUCUGCAACUCGACUCCAUGAAGUCGGAAUCGCUAGUAAUCGUGGAUCAGAAUGCCACGGUGAAUACGUUCCCGGGCCUUGUACACACCGCCCGUCACACCAUGGGAGUGGGUUGCAAAAGAAGUAGGUAGCUUAACCUUCGGGAGGGCGCUUACCACUUUGUGAUUCAUGACUGGGGUGAAGUCGUAACAAGGUAACCGUAGGGGAACCUGCGGUUGGAUCACCUCCUUACCUUAAAGAAGC
This 1555-nucleotide ribosomal RNA is filed under the name Escherichia coli. RNAcentral describes it as "bacterial SSU rRNA". It matches the Rfam family "Bacterial small subunit ribosomal RNA". The record is from RNAcentral. Lineage: Bacteria; Pseudomonadati; Pseudomonadota; Gammaproteobacteria; Enterobacterales; Enterobacteriaceae.